Molecule: transfer RNA, 72 nt
Filed under: Sphaerodactylus townsendi
Lineage: Eukaryota; Metazoa; Chordata; Lepidosauria; Squamata; Sphaerodactylidae
Description: tRNA-Ala
Rfam family: tRNA
About the family: Transfer RNA (tRNA) molecules are approximately 80 nucleotides in length. Their secondary structure includes four short double-helical elements and three loops (D, anti-codon, and T loops).
Source: RNAcentral
GGGCCUAUGACUCAGCGGUAGAGCAUCUGAUUGGCAAGCAGAAGUCCCUGGGUUCAAUUCCUGGCAUCUCCA